UACAGAGGAUGCAAGCGUUAUCCGGAAUGAUUGGGCGUAAAGCGUCUGUAGGUGGCUUUUUAAGUCCGCCGUCAAAUCCCAGGGCUCAACUCUGGACAGGCGGUGGAAACUACCAAGCUGGAGUACGGUAGGGGCAGAGGGAAUUUCCGGUGGAGCGGUGAAAUGCGUAGAGAUCGGAAAGAACAUCAGUGGCGAAAGCGGCUUCCUGGACCAGCACCGACGUUCAGGCACGAAAGCGUGGGGAGCAAACAGG
This 253-nucleotide ribosomal RNA is filed under the name uncultured bacterium. RNAcentral's name for it is "partial 16S ribosomal RNA". It matches the Rfam family "Bacterial small subunit ribosomal RNA", at positions 524 to 776 of the family's 1533-position model. The record is from RNAcentral.